RNA transcript from Delphinapterus leucas (beluga whale), 3597 nucleotides. It is a transcript of the gene named CD55 molecule (Cromer blood group), with no coding region annotated. NCBI's taxonomy places the organism in Eukaryota, Metazoa, Chordata, Mammalia, Artiodactyla, Monodontidae. The record is from RefSeq and is a predicted model, not a curated record.
GUCCCCGCUCGCCAUGAGUCCCGCGCGGCGGAGCGCCCCAGUUGUGCUGCGCCUACUGGGCGGGCUGGCCCCGCCGCUGCUGCUGCUGCUCCUGCGUCCUCCGGCUGCGUCGGGGUCCAGUCGUGUACAGACGUGGCGCUACAAGUUUGCGCGUCAUCUCCUCCAGGUGUAACGUUCCAAGGGGGCGUCUGUCUUUAUUGUGUGCCUAGCAACAGUAUGUAUGUGAAAGUCUAAAGCACUAUAUAUAUAUAUUAUAUGUACAUAUGUGUAUAUAUAUAUAUGUGUGUGUAUAUAUAUAUAUGUAUAUAUUAGAUAACGAAGGGCAGGAAUUUAUUUUCGACUAUUUUAGUUUUGAAUUAACUGACUCAGGAAGCCUAGCAAGUUCUCGGUUUGUCAGCUGAGCAUUGGAUGGGAAUGUUAUGUGGGCAUAGAAAGCCAUUGCUGCUUCCCUUAUUCGUCUUGGGAAAGGAAUGCUGCAAUGAAUUGAAAAGUUGUAUUUCCUUCAGUUCUGUUUUUUCCUCCCUAGGUGACUGCAGCCUUCCCCCAGAUGUACCUAAUGCCCAACCAGCUUUGGGAGCUCUUACAAGUUUUCCCAAACAAAGCACAGUAACAUACAAAUGCAACGAAGGCUUUGUAAAAGUUCCUGGCAAGGCAGACUCAGUGGUCUGUCUGAAUAAUAAAUGGUCAGAGGUUGCAGAAUUUUGUAAUCGUAGCUGUGAUGUUCCAACCAGGCUACUUUUUGCAUCUCUCAAAAAGUCUUAUACCAAACAGAAUUAUUUCCCAGAAGGUUCCACUGUAGAAUAUGAUUGCCGUUUGGGCUACAUAAGGGACCAUUCUCUCUCAGGAAAACUAACUUGCCUUCAGAAUUUUAUGUGGUCCAAACCUGAUGAAUUUUGUAAAAAAAAAUCAUGUGCUAACCCUAGAGAAAUAAAAAAUGGUUAUGUCAGUAUAACACAUGACCUAUUAUUUGGAUCGCCCAUCCAUUUUUCAUGUAAUACAGGGUACAAAUUAGUUGGUGCAACUUCUAGUUACUGUUCUCUUGCGGGAAAUACUGUUGAGUGGAGUGAUCCGUUUCCAGAAUGCCAAGAAAUUUUAUGUCCAGAACCACCAGAAAUUGACCAUGGAAUGAUUGAAAAGAAACAAAACAGUUACGCAUAUAGACAAUCUGUAACAUAUAAAUGUAUGAAAGGCUUCGCCCUGCAUGGAGAGAGCUCUAUCAAUUGUACUGUAAGAGAUGACCAAGGAGAGUGGAGUGGCCCCCCACCUGAAUGCAAAGAAACCUUUCAAAUUUACAAAGUCACACCAGCAGUUCAGAAACCCACCAGAGUACAUGUUCCAGCUACCAAAGCCCCAUCAUUUCCUCAGAAAUCCACCACAGUGAAUGCUCCAGCUACAAAGGUUCCACCAACUCUUCAGAAAUCCACCACUGUAAAGGUUUCAGCUACAGAAGCCCCACCAACUCCUCAGAAACCCACGACUGUAAAAGUAUCAGCUACAGAAACCCCACCAACUCCUCAGAAACCCACCACUGUAAAAGUUUCAGCUACAGAAGCCUCACCACCUCCUCAGAAACUCAUCAAAAUAAAUUCUUCAGCUACAAAGUCCCCACUAGUUUCUCAGAAACCCACCACUGUAAAUGUUCCAGCUACAGAAGUCUCAUCAGCUCCUCAGAAACCUUCCACAGCAAAUGAUUCAGCCACAACAGCCCAAAAUUCCCCCAUAUCAAACACUGUCUCUACAGCAGCUCAGAAUCCCAUCAUGGCAAAUGCUUCUGCAUCACAGGCCACACCAACAACCCAAAGAUUCACCGCGGCAAAAUCUUCACUUACACAGAAUCUUAGAGCAACACAAAAGUCCACUGCUGUACAUACCCCAGUGAUCAAGAGUCUCCAUGCAACACAAAGAUUGACCUCUGCUCAUGUUACAGCAACAAGGAGUCCAGCUGUUCACAGGGCAACCGCACGUUUUCAUGCAACAAGCACACCUAAAGGAGGAGGAAGCUCUACUUCAGUUGCUAGCAUUAUUGCAUCGGGAUGUGUUGCUGGUACUCUAAUAAUUGGUACCAUAAUUCUAGUCAAAAUUUUCUGGGGCAGUGGAAAAUCAGGCUCUUACUACACACAUGAGAACAGCAAAGCACUUAAUGUUGUUUCAUAAUUUGUGACUGGUGAUGCUACGAAAGUAAGACCUUCUAUUAAUUUACAACAGGACAUAUAUGUAUGACAUUGACAGUUUUGCUUAUGAUGCUAGUAACUACUGGCUAACUGAGCCAAAGAAGAGUUGAGAAGAAAGUGCACAUGAGUACACAGAAUAUUUCUAAUUUUGUAGAACUUUCUGGUGGAGUGAACACAGUAUAUGUGGUAGUGUCCUUCGUUUUGCCUGUUAUCUUGUCUUUAAGAUGCAUAAGAAUGUCCACGAAGCAAGGAAAAACGAAUCUGUCCUGGAAUCACAUUCUCAGCACUCUUAAGACUCUUGAAAAUAGAAGAACUCACAAGAUUGAGAGUGAUGACUUUCAUAAAAGUGUGGGAAAGUGGAGAGAUGUGUUGAUACUUAGAAUGUGAACAGGAAGAAAAGGAAAAAAAGUGAAAUUUUUUUCAACAAAUAUGUAAUGUUAUUUUUACUUACAAAGGACACAACAAAUUAAAAACAUUAAUUGGAUAUUGAAACCAAAUAAACCACUCUCUUCUAAGAAAAAUUGCCAAAGACUGAUGAAACAUUGUAAAAUAAUCCUUCCUGACUAAAAGGCAUUUUCAUCUUUUCUUAUUCCAUUAAAAUGAGUAUGAAUCAGUUGGCAAAAUUUUUUAAAGGAAAAACAUGCCAAUGACCCAAGAGUGUUGAGUUUCUUGGGUUAUUUGGUGACAAAGGAGGAAUACAGAAUGAAGGAAUAAUUCUUCCUUUGUCAUACAAGUACAGAUAGUGAAUUAGCUCCUUAUUUGUCAGAUAGAUCAGCUAUAAUUUUGUUCUUAAGAUAAUGUAAAAAAAAAAAAAAAACCAGCCCUGGGGAAGGGUGCAAGGUGUCUUUAUUGACGUAAUGCCUUUAAAGGUCUCCAGAGAUAUUAUAAUAUUAAUAUAAGAAAAGAUUCUGUAUUUCUAAAGUGAGAUGUUCGUAUUCAAAUUGUAAAUCUUAUUCUUUUGUAAUAUUAAGCUUAAUUUAUAUUUAUUUAUAUUUUACAUGUAUACCAAAAAAGUUCAAGAAGAUACGUAAAGAAAAAUUUGUUUUCCCUAAAUAGAAAUAAUUGAUCACACUUUUGUCUCAGGUGGUAUUUGACAUUUAUUUUCUUAAAUGUAAAUAAUUUAGUUAUAAAUAAGAGAGUCCCUUCCUGCCUUUCAUAAGUAGUUUAGAAUGCCGCUCUUUGGUUAUCCUAGGGUGAAUCAUUUUCAGUUACUUUUAUGUAUCACUUGUUAUUGAUUUACCUAACUGGCAAUCACAUCAAUUUCCAGAUUCUUAAUAUGUUCUUGUCAUCUUGUCAAUUACAUGUUAAGUGUUGGAAUAGACUAGAAUAUAUACAUAACUAAAUUUAACAAUAUUUAUUUUGUCAUAUUGCUUCAUCUUCUUUGUUGUUAAAGUAUUUUAAAAUAAAUUCCAUUAGCAUCAUGGCA